CAACUUUCAACAACGGAUCUCUUGGCUCUUGCAUCCAUGAAGAACGCCACCAAAUGGCAUAAGUAAUGUGAAUUGCAGAAUCCAGUGAAUCAUCCAAUCCUUGAACGCACCUUGCGCCCUUUGGUAUUCCGAAGGGCAUGGCUGGUUGAGAAUC
RNAcentral lists this ribosomal RNA (154 nucleotides) under Agroathelia rolfsii. Its description in RNAcentral is "Athelia rolfsii 5.8S ribosomal RNA". It matches the Rfam family "5.8S ribosomal RNA". From Rfam's summary of the family: 5.8S ribosomal RNA (5.8S rRNA) is a component of the large subunit of the eukaryotic ribosome. It is transcribed by RNA polymerase I as part of the 45S precursor that also contains 18S and 28S rRNA. Functionally, it is thought that 5.8S rRNA may be involved in ribosome translocation. The record is from RNAcentral. Lineage: Eukaryota; Fungi; Basidiomycota; Agaricomycetes; Amylocorticiales; Amylocorticiaceae.